This 481-nucleotide ribosomal RNA is filed under the name uncultured bacterium. RNAcentral's name for it is "partial 16S ribosomal RNA". It matches the Rfam family "Bacterial small subunit ribosomal RNA", at positions 28 to 507 of the family's 1533-position model. The record is from RNAcentral.
GAUGAACGCUGGCGGCGUGCUUAACACAUGCAAGUCGAACGAAGCACUUUAUUUGAUUUCCUUCGGGACUGAUUAUUUUGUGACUGAGUGGCGGACGGGUGAGUAACGCGUGGGUAACCUGCCUUGUACAGGGGGAUAACAGUUGGAAACGGCUGCUAAUACCGCAUAAGCGCACAGCAUCGCAUGAUGCAGUGUGAAAACCUCCGGUGGUAUAAGAUGGACCCGCGUUGGAUUAGCUAGUUGGGGUGGUAGCCGGCCACCAAGGGGACGAGCCCUAGCCCGACCGAGAGGGUGGCCCGCCACACUGGGACUGAGCAACGGCCCAAACUCCUACGGGAGGCAGCAGUGGGGGAUAUUGCAACAUGGGCGAAAGCCUGAUGCAGCGACGCCCGGUGAGCGAAGAAGUAUUUCGGGAUGUAAAGCGCUAUCAGCAGGGAAGAUAAUGACGGUACCUGACUAAGAAGCACCGGCUAAAUACGUG